AUUCAGUUGACGAAUCACAAAUAGGACGAAACGCGCGUCGUGGAU
Schistosoma mansoni is the source of this 45-nucleotide non-coding RNA. The record is from Rfam. NCBI's taxonomy places the organism in Eukaryota, Metazoa, Platyhelminthes, Trematoda, Strigeidida, Schistosomatidae.